GAUGAACGCUGGCGGCGUGCUUAACACAUGCAAGUCGAACGAUGAACCUCACUUGUGGGGGGAUUAGUGGCUAACGGGUGAGUAACACGUGAGUAACCUGCCCUUGCCUUUGGUAUAAGUAUGGGAAACCGGGUCUAAUACUGGAUACGACUUUCUUGCUCAUGCCAUGUUGGUGGAUAGCUUUUGUGUUUUUGGAUGGACUCGCGGUCUAUCAGUUUGUUGGUGGGGUAAGGGCCUACCAAGGCGACGACGGGUAGCCGUCGUGAGAGGGUGACCGGACACACUGGGACUGAGACAGGGCAGAGACUCCUACGGGGGGGAGGAGUGGAGAAUAUUGCACAGUGGGCGAAAGCCUGAUGCAGCGACGGCGCGUGAGAGAUGAAGGCCUUCGGGUUGUAAACCUCUUGCAGUAGGGAAGAAGCCGGCUUUUGGGUUGGUGACGGUACCUGCAGAAGAAGCGCCGGCUAACUACGUG
This 475-nucleotide ribosomal RNA is filed under the name uncultured bacterium. Its description in RNAcentral is "partial 16S ribosomal RNA". It matches the Rfam family "Bacterial small subunit ribosomal RNA", at positions 28 to 507 of the family's 1533-position model. The record is from RNAcentral.